ACCUGGGUGGUUCAGUCGGUUAAGCAUCUGACUUCAGCUCAGGUCACGAUCUCAAGGUUUGUGGGUUCAAGCCCCACGUCAGGCU
Non-coding RNA from Felis catus (domestic cat), 85 nucleotides. The record is from Rfam. Lineage: Eukaryota; Metazoa; Chordata; Mammalia; Carnivora; Felidae.